RNAcentral lists this ribosomal RNA (479 nucleotides) under uncultured bacterium. RNAcentral's name for it is "partial 16S ribosomal RNA". It matches the Rfam family "Bacterial small subunit ribosomal RNA", at positions 28 to 507 of the family's 1533-position model. The record is from RNAcentral.
GAUGAACGCUAGCGGGAGGCCUAACACAUGCAAGCCGAGCGGUAUUUGUUCUUCGGAACAGAGAGAGCGGCGCACGGGUGCGGAACACGUGUGCAACCUGCCUUUAUCUGGGGGAUAGCCUUUCGAAAGGAAGAUUAAUACCCCAUAAUAUAUUGAGUGGCAUCACUUGAUAUUGAAAACUCCGGUGGAUAGAGAUGGGCACGCGCAAGAUUAGAUAGUUGGUGAGGUAACGGCUCACCAAGUCAAUGAUCUUUAGGGGGCCUGAGAGGGUGAUCCCCCACAAUGGUACUGAGACACGGACCAGACUCCUACGGGAGGCAGCAGUGAGGAAUAUUGGACAAUGGGUUAGCGCCUGAUCCAGCCAUCCCGCGUGAAGGACGACGGCCCUAUGGGUUGUAAACUUCUUUUGUAUAGGGAUAAACCUACUCUCGUGAGAGUAGCUGAAGGUACUAUACGAAUAAGCACCGGCUAACUCCGUG